UCACUACUUGCGUAGGCAGUCUGGCUAGAGUCCCCACCAUCACGUGCUGGUAACUAACCACAGGGGUUGCGCUCGUUGCGCCACUUAAGGCAACACCUCACGGCACGAGCUGACGACAGCCAUGCAGCACCUUCGCCGGCGCCCCGAAGGGAAGGCCCGUUUCGGGACCGGCCGCCGGCGAUUUAGCCCGGGUAAGGUUCUUCGCGUUGCAUCGAAUUAAGCCACAUGCUCCACCGCUUGUGCGGGCCCCCGUCAAUUCCUUUGAGUUUCAUUCUUGCGAACGUACUCCCCAGGUGGUAUGCUUACUGCGUUAACUGCGUCACAGAGCCCACAGGCCCCACAACUAGCAUACAUCGUUUACAGCGUGGACUAC
This 373-nucleotide unclassified non-coding RNA is filed under the name uncultured Bacteroidota bacterium. Its description in RNAcentral is "uncultured Bacteroidetes bacterium contains 16S-23S intergenic spacer region". The record is from RNAcentral. Lineage: Bacteria; Pseudomonadati; Bacteroidota.